GCCUGAGUGGCUCAGCGGUUGAGCAUCUGCCUUUGGCUCAGGGCAUGAUCCUGGAGUUUUAGGAUUGAGUCCUGCCUCGGGUU
Molecule: transfer RNA, 83 nt
Filed under: Canis lupus familiaris (dog)
Lineage: Eukaryota; Metazoa; Chordata; Mammalia; Carnivora; Canidae
Rfam family: tRNA
About the family: Transfer RNA (tRNA) molecules are approximately 80 nucleotides in length.
Source: Rfam by way of RNAcentral